This is a non-coding RNA of Xenorhabdus vietnamensis, 320 nucleotides long. Lineage: Bacteria; Pseudomonadati; Pseudomonadota; Gammaproteobacteria; Enterobacterales; Morganellaceae. The record is from Rfam.
CACAGUUUACUAAACUAUGAAUGGUAAGAUUGAAAUUGUUUGUUAUCUGUUUGAUCGAACAAAAACGCAGCAAAUGCAUAAGACGUAAUGUUUAAUCAAAUAAUUUAUGGGCUGCGGGUGGCAGCUUACUGGAUUGGGCAAAAUCUGUAUCUAAUUUAUUACAGCAUCCCAAUAGUGUACUGAGUUUAAAUGAAAUUCAGACUCAUCGACAAAUAGGCGCCUCUAUACAAACGAUAGCCGUGAGGCUGACGGUUUUGUAAAAGACACGAGGCCAUCGGUAGCCAGUAUUUCUCCCCUUUUUUACUCGCAGCUCUAUAUUA